AGAGUUUGAUCAUGGCUCAGAGCGAACGCUGGCGGCAGGCUUAACACAUGCAAGUCGAGCGGGCGUAGCAAUACGUCAGCGGCAGACGGGUGAGUAACGCGUGGGAACGUACCUUUUGGUUCGGAACAACACAGGGAAACUUGUGCUAAUACCGGAUAAGCCCUUACGGGGAAAGAUUUAUCGCCGAAAGAUCGGCCCGCGUCUGAUUAGCUAGUUGGUGAGGUAACGGCUCACCAAGGCGACGAUCAGUAGCUGGUCUGAGAGGAUGAUCAGCCACAUUGGGACUGAGACACGGCCCAAACUCCUACGGGAGGCAGCAGUGGGGAAUAUUGGACAAUGGGCGCAAGCCUGAUCCAGCCAUGCCGCGUGAGUGAUGAAGGCCCUAGGGUUGUAAAGCUCUUUUGUGCGGGAAGAUAAUGACGGUACCGCAAGAAUAAGCCCCGGCUAACUUCGUGCCAGCAGCCGCGGUAAUACGAAGGGGGCUAGCGUUGCUCGGAAUCACUGGGCGUAAAGGGUGCGUAGGCGGGUCUUUAAGUCAGGGGUGAAAUCCUGGAGCUCAACUCCAGAACUGCCUUUGAUACUGAGGAUCUUGAGUUCGGGAGAGGUGAGUGGAACUGCGAGUGUAGAGGUGAAAUUCGUAGAUAUUCGCAAGAACACCAGUGGCGAAGGCGGCUCACUGGCCNNAUACUGACGCUGAGGCACGAAAGCGUGGGGAGCAAACAGGAUUAGAUACCCUAGUAGUCC
This 744-nucleotide ribosomal RNA is filed under the name uncultured bacterium. RNAcentral's name for it is "bacterial SSU rRNA". It matches the Rfam family "Bacterial small subunit ribosomal RNA", at positions 8 to 796 of the family's 1533-position model. The record is from RNAcentral.